Molecule: ribosomal RNA, 317 nt
Filed under: uncultured Flavobacteriaceae bacterium
Lineage: Bacteria; Pseudomonadati; Bacteroidota; Flavobacteriia; Flavobacteriales; Flavobacteriaceae
Description: bacterial LSU rRNA
Rfam family: Bacterial large subunit ribosomal RNA
Source: RNAcentral
AAUAAGCUAUUUAAGAGCGUAAGGUGGAUGCCUUGGCUCUCAGAGGCGAUGAAGGACGUGACAAGCUGCGAUAAGCUACGGGGAUUGGCACACACAAUUUGAUCCGUAGAUUUCCGAAUGGGGCAACCCACUAUAUUGAAGAUAUAGUAUCCGUUAAGGAAGCAAACCCAGGGAACUGAAACAUCUAAGUACCUGGAGGAAUAGAAAACAAAAGUGAUUCCGCUAGUAGUGGCGAGCGAACGCGGAACAGCCCAAACCAAAAUUGUUUCGGCAAUUUUGGGGUUGUAGGACCACGACAUUGAAUGUUUAAUGAAUUA